This 253-nucleotide unclassified non-coding RNA is filed under the name uncultured Elusimicrobia bacterium. Its description in RNAcentral is "contains 16S-23S intergenic spacer region". It matches the Rfam family "Bacterial small subunit ribosomal RNA", at positions 524 to 776 of the family's 1533-position model. The record is from RNAcentral. Lineage: Bacteria; Pseudomonadati; Elusimicrobiota; Elusimicrobia.
GACGAAGGUGGCAAGCGUUACUCGGAAUGACUAGGCGUAAAGGGCAGGUAGGUGGCUUGGUAAGUCUGUUGUGAAAGCUCCUGGCUUAACUGGGAGAGGUCAACAGAGACUGUCAGGCUUGAGUAUGGGAGAGGGUACUGGAAUUCCCGGUGUAGCGGUGAAAUGCGCAGAUAUCGGGAGGAACACCAAUGGCGAAAGCAAGUACCUGGACCAUUACUGACACUCAGCUGCGAAAGCUAGGGGAGCAAACAGG